UACGUAGGGGGCUAGCGUUGUCCGGAUUUAUUGGGCGUAAAGAGCUCGUAGGCGGUUUGUUGCGUCGGCUGUGAAAACCUGAGGCUCAACCUCAGGCCUGCAGUCGAUACGAGCAGACUAGAGUGUUGCAGGGGAGACUGGAAUUCCUGGUGUAGCGGUGAAAUGCGCAGAUAUCAGGAGGAACACCGGUGGCGAAGGCGGGUCUCUGGGCAACAACUGACGCUGAGGAGCGAAAGCGUGUGGAGCGAACAGG
Molecule: ribosomal RNA, 253 nt
Filed under: uncultured bacterium
Lineage: Bacteria
Description: partial 16S ribosomal RNA
Rfam family: Bacterial small subunit ribosomal RNA
Source: RNAcentral